RNAcentral lists this ribosomal RNA (464 nucleotides) under uncultured bacterium. Its description in RNAcentral is "bacterial SSU rRNA". It matches the Rfam family "Bacterial small subunit ribosomal RNA", at positions 917 to 1382 of the family's 1533-position model. The record is from RNAcentral.
GGGCCCGCACAAGCGGCGGAGCAUGCGGAUUAAUUCGAUGCAACGCGAAGAACCUUACCAAGGCUUGACAUGAGAGGUAAUCCGGCAGAGAUGUCGGGUCCGUAAGGGCCUCUCACAGGUGGUGCAUGGUUGUCGUCAGCUCGUGUCGUGAGAUGUUGGGUUAAGUCCCGCAACGAGCGCAACCCUUGUUCUAUGUUGCCAGCGCGUAAUGGCGGGGACUCAUAGGAGACUGCCGGGGUCAACUCGGAGGAAGGUAGGGAUGAGGUCAAAUCAUCAUGCCCCUUAUGUCUUGGGCUUCACGCAUGCUACAAUGGCCAGUACAAAGGGCUGCGAGACCGUAAGGUGGAGCGAAUCCCAAAAAGCUGGUCUCAGUUCGGAUCGGGGUCUGCAACUCGACCCCGUGAAGUCGGAGUCGCUAGUAAUCGCAGAUCAGCAACGCUGCGGUGAAUACGUUCCCGGGCCUU